This 380-nucleotide ribosomal RNA is filed under the name uncultured fungus. RNAcentral describes it as "SSU rRNA". It matches the Rfam family "Eukaryotic small subunit ribosomal RNA", at positions 829 to 1208 of the family's 1831-position model. Lineage: Eukaryota; Fungi. The record is from RNAcentral.
CUUUGACCUAUUUGUUGGUUUCUUGAGGUCAAAGUAAUGAUUAAUAGGGACAGUUGGGGGCAUUCGUAUUUAAUUGUCAGAGGUGAAAUUCUUGGAUUUAUUAAAGACGAACUUAUGCGAAAGCAUUUGCCAAGGAUGUUUUCAUUAAUCAAGAACGAAAGUUAGGGGAUCAAAGACGAUCAGAUACCGUCCUAGUCUUAACCAUAAACUAUGCCGACUAGGGAUCGGACGAUGUUAUUUCAUUGACUCGUUCGGCACCUUAUGAGAAAUCAAAGUUUUUGGGUUCCGGGGGGAGUAUGGUCGCAAGGCUGAAACUUAAAGGAAUUGACGGAAGGGCACCACCAGGAGUGGAGCCUGCGGCUUAAUUUGACUCAACACGG